ACACCAAAUCCCAAAUACUUUUUAAUUCUCUUACCUCCAGGUCUUUGCCUAGAACAUAACCCCUCCCCUCUUCACCAAGUUAGCUCAUUUGCCUUCCAGGUGUCACCUCAGAUGUUACUUCCUCCAAAUGUCUACCCUGGUCACCCAAGGCUACGCUGGGUAUCCUUCUGUCUUCUGAGUAUCCUAGGUUUAUUCUAUCUUCUCUCCUGUCAUUUUGUUUUGUAAUUGCCUGUUUCCAUGUAU
RNAcentral lists this long non-coding RNA (243 nucleotides) under Homo sapiens (human). RNAcentral's name for it is "non-protein coding lnc-ENTPD7-2:1". Lineage: Eukaryota; Metazoa; Chordata; Mammalia; Primates; Hominidae. The record is from RNAcentral.